Molecule: ribosomal RNA, 120 nt
Filed under: uncultured bacterium
Lineage: Bacteria
Description: partial 16S ribosomal RNA
Rfam family: Bacterial small subunit ribosomal RNA
Source: RNAcentral
ACGCUAUGGGAGCGGCCGAUGUCCGAUUAGCUUGUUGGUGGGGUAAUGGCCUACCAAGGCGACGAUCGGUAGCUGGUCUGAGAGGAUGAUCAGCCACACUGGGACUGAGACACGGCCCAG